Molecule: ribosomal RNA, 301 nt
Filed under: uncultured bacterium
Lineage: Bacteria
Description: partial 16S ribosomal RNA
Rfam family: Bacterial small subunit ribosomal RNA
Source: RNAcentral
CAGCCGCCGCGGUAAUACAGAGGAUUUAAGCGUUAUCCGGAAUGAUUGGGCGUAAAGCGUCUGUAGGUGGCUUUUCAAGUCCGUCGUCAAAUCCCAGGGCUCAACCCUGGACAGGCGGUGGAAACUACCAAGUUGGAGUACGGUAGGGGCAGAGGGAAUUUCCGGUGGAGCGGUGAAAUGCGCUGAGAUCGGAAAGAACACCAACGGCGAAAGCACUCUGCUGGGCCGACGUUGACACUGAGAGACGAACGCUAGGGGAGAAAAUGGGAUUAGAUACCCCCGUAGUCCCUGUCUCUUAUAC